UAUGAGGAGGAAUGUAUAGCAAUAGCUGAUUGCACCAACAAACAGUUGAUGCAAAAUUGAUUAUAUCAAAUAAAAUUCUAGGUAGAUUUUUGAUAAUGACAUUGCUUACCUAAGUCUUGACCAAAUUACGUGCCAGCAGUCGCGGUAAUACGUAAAAGACUAGUGUUAUUCAUCUUUAAUUGGUUUAAAGGGUACCUAGACAGCGAAUAAAGCCAUAGUAGGGACUAAUUCGCUAGAGUUACUUAUGAGGGGGUAUUAAAGUACUGCAGGUGUAGAGAUGAAAUUUUGUUAUACCUCUUUUCGUAUGAAAAACUAUGGCACAGGUAUAGGUGAAAGCAUCCCCUUAUGUGAUAACUGACGUUGAGGGACGAAGGCUUUGUGUCGCGAACAGGAUUAGAUACCCCAAUAGUCAAAGCAGAAAAUGAUGAAUGUCAUAGAUUAGAUCUACAAUUUAUUCUAUAAAUGAAAGUGUAAGCAUUCCACCUCAAGAGUAAUUUGGCAACAUUGGAACUGAAAUCAUUAGACCGUUUCUGAAACCAGUAGUGAAGUAUGUUGUUUAAUUUGAUGAUACGCAAAAAACCUUACCACAAUUUGAAUAUUUAUAUAUAUCUUUUAUUGAUUUUUACUAACAUAUUUGUAGACAAUUAAAAUGAUGCUUAUAUCUCGUCUGUGGGACUAACCAUCAAAAAAGAUAAUAUAUUUACAAGCGUUGCACGGCUGUCUUCAGUUAAUGUCGCGAGAUUUUGGUUAGUUCCAUUUAAAUUAACGUAAACCCUUACUUUUAUUUUAUAUAUAAAGUAGUUCUCCCGCCUAUAUUGGGAUAUGAUAAACCGGGGACUUAAGAACAAGUCC
This 852-nucleotide ribosomal RNA is filed under the name Cladonia cf. symphycarpia. Its description in RNAcentral is "SSU rRNA". It matches the Rfam family "Bacterial small subunit ribosomal RNA", at positions 404 to 1192 of the family's 1533-position model. Lineage: Eukaryota; Fungi; Ascomycota; Lecanoromycetes; Lecanorales; Cladoniaceae. The record is from RNAcentral.